UGCCAGCCGCCGCGGUAAUACGUAGGGUGCGAGCGUUGUCCGGAAUUACUGGGCGUAAAGAGCUCGUAGGCGGUUUGUCACGUCGUCUGUGAAAUCCUAGGGCUUAACCCUGGACGUGCAGGCGAUACGGGCUGACUUGAGUACUACAGGGGAGACUGGAAUUUCUGGUGUAGCGGUGGAAUGCACAGAUAUCAGGAAGAACACCGAUGGCGAAGGCAGGUCUCUGGGUAGUAACUGACGCUGAGGAGCGAAAGCAUGGGUAGCGAACAGGAUUAGAUA
Molecule: ribosomal RNA, 279 nt
Filed under: uncultured bacterium
Lineage: Bacteria
Description: partial 16S ribosomal RNA
Rfam family: Bacterial small subunit ribosomal RNA
Source: RNAcentral